Oncorhynchus tshawytscha (Chinook salmon) is the source of this 692-nucleotide long non-coding RNA. NCBI's taxonomy places the organism in Eukaryota, Metazoa, Chordata, Actinopteri, Salmoniformes, Salmonidae. The record is from Ensembl.
CUAUUUCUACGUGCCUGAAGCUGGGUAUUGGACUGGGGUUCUGAUCAAGACUAUAUAAUGGUGUGGUCUUAUUCAGACAGGUUGAUUUAUCACUUAGCAGACUUGGGUUCAAAUGCUUUUCAAAAUACUUGAAACACUUUCAGCGUUUGCUUUUGCCUGCCCGGGGUGCCAGAUGAACAGGGUUGGGUCGUUUGUGACAGUUUCAUAUUCUAUUGGAUCCAUUGCGCCAGGCAAGCUCAAUCAAGCCCAGAAAGAGGAUAUGAAAGGAUUUGAACCCAGAGCUGCUACGUGAUAAAUCAGCCUAUCUGAAUAAGAUCUCACUGUUGUAUGGACUUGAGCAGAAACCCAGUAUCCAGCUUCAGGCACGUAGAAAUAGACAGUACUAGAAAGUAAUAGAUUUUUAUUUUUUAUUUAUUUUUACUAGGCAAGUCAGUUAAGAACAAAUUCUUAUUUUCAAUGACGGCCUAGGAACAAACAGUGUUGAUCCUGGUUAUGAUGUCCUGCUGAGGACAGAACUAGUUGUGGCACAGUGUUGAUCCUGGUUGUGAUGUCCUGCUGAGGACAGAACUAGUUGUGGCACAGUGAAUGGGGGUGGAUGGAGGAAUGGGGGUGGAUGGAGGAGUGGGGGUGGAUGGAGGAGUGGAUGGGGACGUUAACUGCCUUGUUCAGGGGCAGAACGACCUUGUCAGCUC